UGGGGAAUAUUGGACAAUGGGGGCAACCCUGAUCCAGCCAUGCCGCGUGUGUGAAGAAGGCCUUCGGGUUGUAAAGCACUUUUGUUGGGGAAGAAAAGCUCCUGGUUAAUACCUGGGGGUCAUGACGGUACCCAAAGAAUAAGCACCGGCUAACUUCGUGCCAGCAGCCGCGGUAAUACGAAGGGUGCAAGCGUUACUCGGAAUUACUGGGCGUAAAGCGUGCGUAGGCGGUUUGUUAAGUCUGUCGUGAAAGCCCCGGGCUCAACCUGGGAAUGGCGAUGGAUACUGGCGAGCUAGAGUACGGUAGAGGAGAGUGGAAUUCCCGGUGUAGCAGUGAAAUGCGUAGAGAUCGGGAGGAACAUCAGUUGCGAAGGCGGCUCUCUGGACCAGUACUGACGCUGAGGCACGAAAGCGUGGGGAGCAAACAGG
RNAcentral lists this ribosomal RNA (429 nucleotides) under uncultured bacterium. RNAcentral describes it as "bacterial SSU rRNA". It matches the Rfam family "Bacterial small subunit ribosomal RNA", at positions 355 to 776 of the family's 1533-position model. The record is from RNAcentral.